GCUCUAGAAUUUUAAUUGCAUUACAAAUCCACAUCUUGCCUAUUCUCUGCAGGCUUAUACGUUUUGUCUCUGGUUUGAGCUUUGAGUUUGUUUUUCUUGUAUUAAUAUGGAGAUCCCAGUGAUCAACAGAAUUGGCGAUUUCGAAGCUGGCAUAACCUCCCUACAAAACCCAUCUUUUCCUUCUCAGGUUUUUGCUUUAUCUAGGGUCGAAAAGAUUCACCAGGCUUACAGUUUUUGUAAAUGGGGAGCUUUGAUUGUUGCCCUAGUCGCUUCUUUUUCCACCAUAAUCAAUAGA
RNAcentral lists this unclassified non-coding RNA (295 nucleotides) under Hevea brasiliensis (rubber tree). The record is from RNAcentral. Lineage: Eukaryota; Viridiplantae; Streptophyta; Magnoliopsida; Malpighiales; Euphorbiaceae.